GAUUAACGCUAGCGGCAGGCAUAAUACAUGCAAGUUGAACGAGAUUAGUUUUAGCAAUAGAACUAGUUUAGUGGCGCACGGGUGCGUAACGCGUAUGCAACCUACCUUAAACAGGGGAAUAGCCUCUCGAAAGAGAGAUUAAUACCGCAUAAUAUAUAUUUAAUGCAUAUUAGAUAUAUUAAACCUACGGGGGUUUAAGAUGGGCAUGCGUGACAUUAGCUAGUUGGUGAGGUAACGGCUCACCAAGGCAACGAUGUCUAGGGGGUCUGAGAGGAUGUCCCCCCACACUGGUACUGAGACACGGACCAGACUCCUACGGGAGGCAGCAGUAGGGAAUAUUGGUCAAUGGGGGCAACCCUGAACCAGCCAUGCCGCGUGCAGGAAUAAGGCCCUAUGGGUCGUAAACUGCUUUUGAACGGGAAGAAAUCUAUUUACGUGUAAAUAGUUGACGGUACCGUUAGAAUAAGGAUCGGCUAACUUCGUGCCAGCAGCCGCGGUAAU
RNAcentral lists this ribosomal RNA (501 nucleotides) under uncultured bacterium. Its description in RNAcentral is "bacterial SSU rRNA". It matches the Rfam family "Bacterial small subunit ribosomal RNA", at positions 28 to 524 of the family's 1533-position model. The record is from RNAcentral.